Molecule: long non-coding RNA, 954 nt
Organism: Fukomys damarensis (Damara mole-rat)
Lineage: Eukaryota; Metazoa; Chordata; Mammalia; Rodentia; Bathyergidae
Exons: 4
Source: RefSeq, a predicted model, not a curated record
UUCCUGGAGAGCACUGAGAGCAGACCCUGGCUGGCAGGAAGCACAUGGAUGUCAGCUGUUACGAUCCUUAGACUCCUCCGUGGCCGGGGAUCGUCAUUCUCCCUAUUUCACAGAUGCACUCAGGACUCAGAGACGCCCAGUGAGUUGCCGAGGGCUCUGUGGCAAGAAACAGGGAUCCGGAUUAGAACUCACCCUUAUGAGACCCAGAUCCUCCUGUGAAUGCGCAGGGGCGGACGUGACAGUGUCUUUUGCCCUCCGGCCAGCAGGAGUUUAAACCCUGACAACGCAGAUGUCCCUCAGCCCGGCCACUCAAUGAGCUCCUGCAGCUCACCUGGCCACGGAGGGUUGUGUGCUGGUUGCAAGAAAUGAGGCUGCCCCAUGCAUGGGGCUGGACACAUCUCUAAGGCUUUCUGCUCAAUAGAAGACCAUAUGAAAAAGAAGGCCCACAAUCCGCAGGAAACACAGCCACAGAUUAAAAAAAACCUGAGUCUGGAGCAUGAAUGUGACCCCUGGAAGUUCACUCGGAGCAAGUAUGUGUGUUCUGCUAGAAAGCUUGCCCGUCUGACAACCCAGAUGCUUCGCUCAGGGCCCCGGCAGCCGUCACUGCAAUGCAGACACGAAGGAGGCGACACCUGCCCCAGUCCGAAGUGGGCAGGAGGUUCACCAGGUUGCGAGAUGCCCAGCCUAUUGUAAAGAUACCAGCUGAUACUUCCUGUGGGUAAAGACAAUCAGCUGACACAGACUCCAAUCACCAAGUGGCCCUGCAGGAGGGGGCAGGGGCUCAUCACAGCCAUGGCCAUGUUGUAGGCCCCAAAGCCGGUCCCCAGCACGGUGAUGACCCCCAGGAACGGCAGAGACCUACAGCAGAGUGGAGGAGGGGGCCUGCGUCUCUCUCCUGUUGUGGCCUGAUGGAGUGGAGGGUGACCUGGGACUGGAGAAGAUCCUCAAUGGAAC